UACAGAGGGUGCGAGCGUUGUUCGGAAUUAUUGGGCGUAAAGGGCGCGUAGGCGGUGCCACAAGUCACCUGUGAAAUCUCUGGGCUUAACCUAGGGGCUGCUAGCGAAACUGCCGUGCUAGAGUGUGAGAGAGGCGAGUGGAAUUACGGGUGUAGCGGUGAAAUGCGUAGAUAUCCGUAGGAACAUCCGAGGCGAAAGCGGCUCGCUGGAUCACAACUGACGCUGAGAGACGAAAGCUAGGGGAGCAAACAG
Molecule: ribosomal RNA, 252 nt
Filed under: uncultured bacterium
Lineage: Bacteria
Description: partial 16S ribosomal RNA
Rfam family: Bacterial small subunit ribosomal RNA
Source: RNAcentral